CGUUGCCGUGUCAUUACGGCUCGUCUUAAAUGCUUGAGUGUACCCUGUUUUGCAGUGUAUCCGGUGUAAUAAACGUUUCACCAGAGUUGGUCGCAAGACCGCAUUUGCUCUUUGGGCUCUAUGCUUUCGAACCGUCCUUUACCGGACAAACUUUUUGACAAUUUGACCUCAAAUCGGGUGGGACUACCCGCUGAACUUAA
RNAcentral lists this unclassified non-coding RNA (200 nucleotides) under soil metagenome. RNAcentral's name for it is "partial contains internal transcribed spacer 2 and large subunit ribosomal RNA". The record is from RNAcentral.